CCCCUCUUCUUCUGAAAUUUUGACCUCGGAUCAGGUAGGAAUACCCGCUGAACUUAAGCAUAU
Molecule: ribosomal RNA, 63 nt
Filed under: Chrysoporthe austroafricana
Lineage: Eukaryota; Fungi; Ascomycota; Sordariomycetes; Diaporthales; Cryphonectriaceae
Description: partial 28S ribosomal RNA
Source: RNAcentral